RNAcentral lists this transfer RNA (74 nucleotides) under Brockia lithotrophica. It matches the Rfam family "tRNA". Rfam says of the family: Transfer RNA (tRNA) molecules are approximately 80 nucleotides in length. The record is from Rfam by way of RNAcentral. Lineage: Bacteria; Bacillati; Bacillota; Bacilli; Thermicanales; Thermicanaceae.
GUUCCAGUAGCUCAACAGGAUAGAGCAGCGGCCUUCUAAGCCGCCGGUUGGGGGUUCGAGUCCCUCCUGGAACG